Molecule: ribosomal RNA, 360 nt
Filed under: uncultured bacterium
Lineage: Bacteria
Description: partial 16S ribosomal RNA
Rfam family: Bacterial small subunit ribosomal RNA
Source: RNAcentral
CCUACGGGAGGCAGCAGUGAGGAAUAUUGGUCAAUGGCCGGAAGGCUGAACCAGCCAAGCCGCGUGAAGGACGAAGGUGCCAAGCAUUGUAAACUUCUUUUGUCAAGGGACAAAAUCAGGCUCGAGAGCCUGACCGAGGGUACUUGAAGAAAAAGCAUCGGCUAACUCCGUGCCAGCAGCCGCGGUAAUACGGAGGAUGCGGGUGUUAUCGGGAUUUAUUGGGUUAAAGGGGGGCGUGGGCGGGCUGUUAAGUCAGCGGGAAAAGCCCGGGGCUCAACCCCGGCGAGCCGUUGAAACUGGCUGUCUUGAGAUGUGGAGAGGUAGGCGGAAUGCGCAGUGUAGCGGUGAAAUGCGUAGAUA